GACUUCAUUUUCUCUUUCGGUUUCACUUUGGUAUUUGCUGGACAGACUGCUGCCACGCAGGCUGUCUAGGUCACUCUGUUGCUUUCUGCUCCUGUGAUGAUACCAUGGCCAAGACAAAUUAGGAGAUUAAAGGUAUAUUCCAGGUAUUCCUGAUCUCUCCAAGACAUUUCUAAUGAAGGGAUGUACAGAACCUGGAAGCAACCUAGAUGCCCCUCAACUGAAGAAUGGAUGGAGAAAAUGUGUUGCAUUUACACAAUGGAGUACUACUCAGCAGGAAAAAAAAAACAAUGGAAUCUUGAAAUUUGUAGGAAAAUGGAUGGAACUAGAAGAAACCAUCCUGAGUGAGGUAACUCAAUCAUAAAAUGACAAAAUGGCCAUCCUAGAGCCUUCAUCCAGUAACUGAUGGAAGCAGAAGCAGAUACCCACAGCUAAACACUGAGCUGAAUUCUGGAAUCUUGUUGCAGAGAGAGAGGAGUGAUGAGAAAAGGUGCCACAACCAGGCUGGAGAAAUCCACAGAAACUGCUGACCUGAACACGUUGUUACUCGUGGAACCCAGACUGAUACCUGGAAAACCAGCAUAGGACUGUUCCAGACCCCCUGAAGGAGGAUGUCAGUUUGGAGGUCUGGGCAAUCUAUGGGGCCUCUCUUAGUGGAUUAGUAUUUAUCCCUAGUACAGCAAUGGACUUUUGGAGCUCACUCCACAUAGAGGGAUACUCUCUCAGCCUAGACACACUGGGGAGAGUCUAGGGCCUGCUCCAAAUGAUAUGACAGACUCUGAAGAUUCCCCCAUGGAAGGCUUCACCCUCCCUGGGGAACAGAAAGCGCUUGGGAUAAGGGGUCAGGGUAAGGGAGGAGGGGGUGAGAGGGAACUGGCAUUGACAUGUAAAAGAAGCUUGUUUCUAAUUUAAAAUUGGUCUAGUUACAAUUCUAAAAAUAAAAAUUUAAAAAAAUUAUAAACCAUUUAGAAAAGAAAAAAAUCAUGACAAGACCUUAUUCUUCAUGCUGGCAGCAUCCUACGCCAAGAACUCAUCUCAUUUCUGUGACAUUAAUCAACUCUGAAUUGACUAAUAUAUGUGGCUUCAGAUUCUUCAGAAAGAUAAUGAUAUUUAUCUACUAGGUAGUCCUAAUGGUUUUGUGCUCUGAUUUAAUUUUCCUCAUGGACUUGUUAUGGAUUUUGAAGAGUACCAGUGGCAGAAUUGAGGAGUAGAGUCAGAAACGCUGGGGAGUUCAAUCGAUCAUCACUCAUUUUUGUUUUCUCAUUCCUGGCCACAGUCUUAGUUGUUGAUAUUGGACAGCUUUUCAGUCCACAGUGACACUCUGUGGUGGUUAAGCAGACAACAGCAAAAGUUCAGGGAGCAAAAUCUCAUCUGUUCGUCUGGCAUUAGAAUUCUGGGCACCUGAUUUGAAUAAAUCAAUAUGCAAUUGUCUUUUCUAGGAAAUCAUUCUUAGUUUAUAAUGAGUAUAACACUUUGAAUGCUGUCUCACCAUCACAGUUGCUUCCACUGGGCAUUUGAUCACAGAAGAAAAUUGGCCUGGUUAUUGGGAAUGCCUGAAAGACAAACAGGUUUAUCAAAAUUUCCACCCUUUGUAAAUUCAGAAAAGAAACUGUACAUAGACACACAUUUCUGCUUUCAAUUUUAUCAUCCACCAUGGGAGCAGUAAUGUGAAAAGUGAAUGAUAAGACUGAGAAUAUAAAUGCAAUCUGAUGUAAUUUUAUUCAUAUACAUUUAAAUGUUAAUACUAGUAAUUGACUAAUUUAUUGAGAACUUUUACAUGUGCCCAUAUCAGGUAAUUAUGAAAAUCUGCUUUAACUAUUCAUGUAGGAUAUCCUUUUACAAGUCUGACUGGGAUAAAAGUAUAUAUCUUCCUAUUUGCCUCCUCAGUGCUCAGACUACAGAUGUGAGCCUCUAGGUCUAGCAUGAGUCUACUUUUCAACUGCAAAUUGUAUUAUAUUUAAAUAAGCAUUACUGAAACAGUAAAAUUUGUCAUACAAACUUUAGUUGGUUAUAAAACUAUAUUACACUCAAUUUCAAUACUUGAUUAAAAAUGUAAAGAAUCUCAAUCAUGAUUUUAACAUUCAUUUUAUGCUGACAUGAUAGUUUGUAAAUAAUGAAUUCAAAUGCAUUUCUAUUAAAUAUAUAGUAUAAAUAUAUACAUAUCUAUACAAACCUUAGUGAGAAGGUAUGUAUACAUCUGUGUUCAUGUGCCUGUGGGGUUCAGAAGUUAUUAUCAAGUGUCUUCUAAGAUCAUUCUCCAUCUUAAGUAUUGAGGCAGGGUCUCUCACUAAACUAAAGUUCACUAGUAAUUUACUCAGGAA
RNAcentral lists this long non-coding RNA (2318 nucleotides) under Cricetulus griseus (Chinese hamster). Its description in RNAcentral is "lncRNA (ENSCGRG00015037239.1)". The record is from RNAcentral. Lineage: Eukaryota; Metazoa; Chordata; Mammalia; Rodentia; Cricetidae.